This 98-nucleotide small nuclear RNA is filed under the name Erinaceus europaeus (western European hedgehog). RNAcentral's name for it is "U2 spliceosomal RNA". It matches the Rfam family "U2 spliceosomal RNA". Rfam says of the family: U2 is a small nuclear RNA (snRNA) component of the spliceosome (involved in pre-mRNA splicing). Complementary binding between U2 snRNA (in an area lying towards the 5' end but 3' to hairpin I) and the branchpoint sequence (BPS) of the intron results the bulging out of an unpaired adenosine, on the BPS, which initiates a nucleophilic attack at the intronic 5' splice site, thus starting the first of two transesterification reactions that mediate splicing. The record is from Rfam by way of RNAcentral. Lineage: Eukaryota; Metazoa; Chordata; Mammalia; Eulipotyphla; Erinaceidae.
AUCGUCUCUCGGCCUUUUGGCUAAGAUCAAGUGUAGAAUCUGUUUAGUAACUCAAACAUAUGAACCCCAUGUCAUAAACAUGUUUUUAGUGACUCCAU